AGCUUUUCGAAUCCGUGCUGAGAUUUCGUCAGACACCAACAUACUAGGGCUGACCAGACUUCCAACAUAAGUGAAGUU
Molecule: non-coding RNA, 78 nt
Organism: Schistosoma margrebowiei
Lineage: Eukaryota; Metazoa; Platyhelminthes; Trematoda; Strigeidida; Schistosomatidae
Source: Rfam